This is a long non-coding RNA of Oncorhynchus tshawytscha (Chinook salmon), 1102 nucleotides long. Lineage: Eukaryota; Metazoa; Chordata; Actinopteri; Salmoniformes; Salmonidae. The record is from Ensembl.
CAGAGACUGUGUUUUUAGAUGAAGGAGAACAGACUUCAAACUGCUGAACAUUACAUCUCUAAACAGUGUUGAGUUGGGUCUCCAUGGUGAUGGAUGGGUUCUUCUCAGAGACGUCAGGUUCAGGGUUAUGAUUAGAGCCUCUAGCCCAGAGGCGCUCACUUAUCAUCAGGCAGUGAGGUGACAAAGAAGGGCUGAGUAGCUCCAGGGGUCAGUAGUGAGGGUCAGGGUCGCCAGGGGUGAGGGUCAGGGUCGCCAGGGGUGAGGGUCAGGGUCGCCAGGGUUGAGGGUCAGGAGUCAGAGUCGCCAGGGUUGAGGGUCAGGAGUCAGAGUCGCCAGGGUUGAGGGUCAGGGUCUCCAGGGGAGGGGGUCAGGGUCUCCAGGGGUGAGGGUCAGGGUCUCCAGGGGUGAGGGUCAGGGACACCAGGGGUGAGGGUCAGGGUCACCAGGGGUGAGGGUCAGGGUCACCAGGGGUGAGGGUCAGGGUCACCAGGGGUGAGGGUCAGGGUCACCAGGGGUGAGGGUCAGGGUCACCAGGGGUGAGGGUCAGGGUCUCCAGGGGUGAGGGUCAGGGUCUCCAGGGGUGAGGGUCAGGGGUCAGGGUCUCCAGGGGUGAGGGUCAGGGGUCAGGGUCUCCAGGAGUGAGGGUCAUGGUCUCCAGGGGUCAGGGUCUCCAGGGGUCAGGGUCUCCAGGGGUGAGGGUCAGCGUUGCCAGGGGUGAGGGUCAGGGUCUCCAGGGGUGAGGGUCAGGCGUCAGGGUCACCAGGGGUGAGGGUCAGGGUCUCCAGGGGUGAGGUUCAGGGGUCAGGGUCUCUAGGGGUCAGGGGUUACUUACUUGUCGUCAGGCAGGGCUGUAACAUAAAAAGGCUGGGUAGCUCCAGGGGUCAGGGUCAGGGAGUUGGUUUUCUUCUUAGCCAAGAGGGCAGCGCGGUGAGACUCAUACACAUCCAGGGUCAGAGUAGUGGACAGACGGUGGGACACCACAAACGGAAGGUCCUUCAGACGCUCCAGCUCACUGGCCUGCUCAUGACGCACCUGCAGACGCAGCGUGUAGUCACCUUUCUCUAGUUUCAGAGAGUACUGAUGGAGAGAGAGGAGAGGAGAG